UACAGAGGAUGCAAGCGUUAUCCGGAAUGAUUGGGCGUAAAGCGUCUGUAGGUGGCUUUUUAAGUCCGCCGUCAAAUCCCAGGGCUCAACUCUGGACAGGCGGUGGAAACUACCAAGCUGGAGUACGGUAGGGGCAGAGGGAAUUUCCGGUGGAGCGGUGAAAUGCGUAGAUAUCUGGAAGAACACCCGUGGCGAAGGCGGCUCUCUGGGACGGUACUGACGCUGAGACGCGAAAGCGUGGGGAGCGAACAGG
Molecule: ribosomal RNA, 253 nt
Filed under: uncultured bacterium
Lineage: Bacteria
Description: partial 16S ribosomal RNA
Rfam family: Bacterial small subunit ribosomal RNA
Source: RNAcentral